UACGGAGGGGGCUAGCGUUGUUCGGAAUUACUGGGCGUAAAGCGCACGAAGGCGGCUUGGUAAGUAGAGGUGAAAGCCUGGAGCUCAACUCCAGAAUUGCCUUUAAGACUGCCGAGCUAGCAGGUGAGAGAGGUGAGUGGAAUUCCGAGUGUAGAGGUGAAAUUCGUAAAUAUUCGGAAGAACACCAGUGGCGAAGGCGGCUCACUGGCUCAUACUGGACGCUGAGGUGCGAAAGCGUGGGGAGCAAACAGG
Molecule: ribosomal RNA, 252 nt
Filed under: uncultured bacterium
Lineage: Bacteria
Description: partial 16S ribosomal RNA
Rfam family: Bacterial small subunit ribosomal RNA
Source: RNAcentral